This 449-nucleotide ribosomal RNA is filed under the name uncultured bacterium. RNAcentral's name for it is "partial 16S ribosomal RNA". It matches the Rfam family "Bacterial small subunit ribosomal RNA", at positions 29 to 523 of the family's 1533-position model. The record is from RNAcentral.
AAUGAACGCUGGCGGCAGGCCUAACACAUGCAAGUCGAACGGAUCCUUCGGGAUUAGUGGCGGACGGGUGAGUAACGCGUGGGAACAUACCCUUUGGUACGGAAUAGCCCCGGGAAACUGGGAGUAAUACCGUAUGUGGUCGAGAGACGAAAGAUUUAUCGCCAAAGGAUUGGCCCGCGUUGGAUUAGGUAGUUGGUGGGGUAAUGGCCUACCAAGCCGACGAUCCAUAGCUGGUUUGAGAGGAUGAUCAGCCACACUGGGACUGAGACACGGCCCAGACUCCUACGGGAGGCAGCAGUGGGGAAUCUUAGACAAUGGAGGAAACCCUGAUCUAGCCAUGCCGCGUGAUCGAUGAAGGCCUUAGGGUUGUAAAGAUCUUUCAGGUGGGAAGAUAAUGACUGUACCACCAGAAGAAGCCCCGGCUAACUCCGUGCCAGCCGCCGCAGUAA